GGAGUGAAAAUUUACAUUUUUAAUAGAAAAGAGAGUUGGAGAUUGGCUAUUCAACACCCCUUUAAUCAAGUGGGAAUAAGCCGAUAGGUAGCAACCACAACUCCACUAUCUAGAUCCAAAUCACUAACUAAGAUCAAGGAUCUAUAGUAAUUCUAAGCUUGAAUCUGAUUUUAAGGCUAGAAAUAUUUAUAACUCAAAAAUUAAUACCUUUUUAGUAAGACUAAUAUCAUCAAUGUAUUCAAAAUAUAUUUCUAUUUUG
Molecule: long non-coding RNA, 259 nt
Filed under: Physcomitrium patens
Lineage: Eukaryota; Viridiplantae; Streptophyta; Bryopsida; Funariales; Funariaceae
Description: long non-coding RNA (PPAT_LNC008714)
Source: RNAcentral